Long non-coding RNA from Daphnia carinata, 581 nucleotides. RefSeq lists it as uncharacterized. The transcript has 3 exons. The record is from RefSeq and is a predicted model, not a curated record. Lineage: Eukaryota; Metazoa; Arthropoda; Branchiopoda; Diplostraca; Daphniidae.
CGAAGCACCACCACCCCACCAGUCGAAAUAAAUUGGAGGAUUUUUGUUCCCACCACGACCUACUACCCCUAAGCUGAAAACAGAUUCCCAUUGCUGUUUCGUCGCUCACUUUACAGUUCAUAUACAGUAGGCCUUUCGAACCGACUGCUCUAAAAUGAAAACUGCGGUCAUAUGGUUCGCCUUGAUCUUUGCUCUGCUGCUGGAUACGUCCUCUGCAUUGCCGUUUGCAGGUAAGUCCAGGACACGACGAGACGCACCUCCAUACGGAUGCCAGAGUUGGUGGCAAAUACGUCGGGGUAGCACGUGCUGGGAAACGGCUAGAGUUUGUGGAAUAGACCUGAAUACCCUUUACCGUAACAAUGGAGUUUUGGAAGGUGGUAGGGCCUGCAAUAAUUUGCAAAUCGGCAAUUUUCUUUGCUGCGAAUAUGGCGAGACAAGAAACCAAAACUAUGAAUACAGUCCGUACGAAAUGUAUGGCGGAUGGUAAACUCUUCUAUAUGUAUCAACUUACAAUCCAUUCGAAACAACAUUCACAUUUUUUUUCUGGAUUGUAUUGGAAAACUAACCUGUGAACCAAGCCA